GACGAACGCUGGCGGCGUGCUUAACACAUGCAAGUCGAACGGAAAGGCCCUGCUUUUGUGGUGUGCUCGAGUGGCGAACGGGUGAGUAACAUGUGAGUAACCUGCCCUUGACUUUGGGAUAACUUCAGGAAACUGGGGCUAAUACCGUAUAGGAUCUCCUGCUGCGUUGUGGGGGUUGGAAAGUUUCGGCGGUUGGGGAUGGACUCGCGGCUUAUCAGCUUGUUGGUGGGGUAUUGGCUUACCAAGGCUUUGACGGGUAGCCGGCCUGAGAGGGUGACCGGCCACAUUGGGACUGAGAUACGGCCCAGACUCCUACGGGAGGCAGCAGUGGGGAAUAUUGCACAAUGGGCGGAAGCCUGAUGCAGCAACGCCGCGUGCGGGAUGACGGCCUUCGGGUUGUAAACCGCUUUCGGCUGUGACGAAGCGAGAGUGACGGUAAUGGGUAAAGAAGCACCGGCUAACUACGUG
Molecule: ribosomal RNA, 468 nt
Filed under: uncultured bacterium
Lineage: Bacteria
Description: partial 16S ribosomal RNA
Rfam family: Bacterial small subunit ribosomal RNA
Source: RNAcentral